UACGGAGGGUGCAAGCGUCGUCCGGAUUUAUUGGGUUUAAAGGGUGCGUAGGCGGCUCUUUAAGUCAGUGGUGAAAUCCUACAGCUUAACUGUAGAACAGCCAUUGAUACUGAAGAGCUUGAGUACAGACGAGGUAGGCGGAAUUUAUGGUGUAGCGGUGAAAUGCAUAGAUACCAUAAAGAACUCCUAUUGCGAAGGCAGCUUACUAGGCUGUAACUGACGCUGAGGUGCGAAAGCGUGGGGAGCAAACAGG
RNAcentral lists this ribosomal RNA (253 nucleotides) under uncultured bacterium. Its description in RNAcentral is "partial 16S ribosomal RNA". It matches the Rfam family "Bacterial small subunit ribosomal RNA", at positions 524 to 776 of the family's 1533-position model. The record is from RNAcentral.